RNAcentral lists this ribosomal RNA (253 nucleotides) under uncultured bacterium. Its description in RNAcentral is "partial 16S ribosomal RNA". It matches the Rfam family "Bacterial small subunit ribosomal RNA", at positions 524 to 776 of the family's 1533-position model. The record is from RNAcentral.
GACGGAGGGGGCAAGCGUUAUUCGGAAUCAUUGGGCGUAAAGGGCGCGUAGGCGGCUUGGCAAGUCAAAGGUGAAAUCCCUCGGCCUAACCGAUGAACUGCCUUUGAAACUGCUUGGCUUGAGGCCGGGAGAGGGUAGCGGAAUUCCCAGUGUAGCGGUGAAAUGCGUAGAUAUUGGGAGGAACACCAGUGGCGAAGGCGGCUACCUGGACCGGUUCUGACGCUGAGGCGCGAAAGCGUGGGGAGCAAACAGG